GGGGAAUUUUGGACAAUGGGCGCAAGCCUGAUCCAGCCAUGCCGCGUGAGUGAAGAAGGCCUUCGGGUUGUAAAGCUCUUUCGGUGAAGACGAAACGGUUAGCGCUAAUAACGCUGACUAAUGACGGUACUCACAGAAGAAGCACCGGCUAACUACGUGCCAGCAGCCGCGGUAAUACGUAGGGUGCAGGCGUUAAUCGGAAUUACUGGGCGUAAAGCGUGCGCAGGCGGUUUGCUAAGACAGGUGUGAAAUCCCCGGGCUUAACCUGGGAAUUGCGCUUGUAACUGGCAGGCUAGAGUGUGGCAGAGGGGGGUGGAAUUCCACGUGUAGCAGUGAAAUGCGUAGAUAUGUGGAGGAACACCGAUGGCGAAGGCAGCCCCCUGGGUCAACACUGACGCUCAGGCACGAAAGCGUGGGGAGCAAAC
RNAcentral lists this ribosomal RNA (425 nucleotides) under uncultured bacterium. RNAcentral's name for it is "bacterial SSU rRNA". It matches the Rfam family "Bacterial small subunit ribosomal RNA", at positions 356 to 773 of the family's 1533-position model. The record is from RNAcentral.